This 445-nucleotide ribosomal RNA is filed under the name uncultured bacterium. Its description in RNAcentral is "bacterial SSU rRNA". It matches the Rfam family "Bacterial small subunit ribosomal RNA", at positions 329 to 792 of the family's 1533-position model. The record is from RNAcentral.
UGCCAGACUCCUACGGGAGGCAGCAGUAGGGAAUCUUUCACAAUGGGCGAAAGCCUGAUGGAGCAACGCCGCGUGCAGGAUGAAGGCCUUCGGGUUGUAAACUGCUUUUAUAAGCGAGAAAUAUGAUGGUAACUUAUGAAUAAGGAUCGGCUAACUACGUGCCAGCAGCCGCGGUAAUACGGAGGAUGCGAGCGUUAUCCGGAUUUAUUGGGUUUAAAGGGUGCGUAGGCGGAAUGCCAAGUCAGCGGUAAAUUCGGGGGGCUCACCCUCUCUCCGCCGUUGAAACUGGCGUUCUUGAGUGGGCGAGAAGUAUGCGGAAUGCGUGGUGUAGCGGUGAAAUGCAUAGAUAUCACGCAGAACUCCGAUUGCGAAGGCAGCAUACCGGCGCCCAACUGACGCUGAAGCACGAAAGCGUGGGUAUCGAACAGGAUUAGAUACCCUAAUA